This 490-nucleotide ribosomal RNA is filed under the name uncultured bacterium. RNAcentral describes it as "partial 16S ribosomal RNA". It matches the Rfam family "Bacterial small subunit ribosomal RNA", at positions 30 to 507 of the family's 1533-position model. The record is from RNAcentral.
AUUGAACGCUGGCGGCAUGCCUUACACAUGCAAGUCGAACGGCAGCAUGAUCUAGCUUGCUAGAUUGAUGGCGAGUGGCGAACGGGUGAGUAAUACAUCGGAACGUGCCCUGUAGUGGGGGAUAACUAGUCGAAAGAUUAGCUAAUACCGCAUACGACCUGAGGGUGAAAGUGGGGGACCGCAAGGCCUCAUGCUAUAGGAGCGGCCGAUGUCUGAUUAGCUAGUUGGUGAGGUAAAGGCUCACCAAGGCGACGAUCAGUAGCUGGUCUGAGAGGACGAUCAGCCACACUGGGACUGAGACACGGCCCAGACUCCUACGGGAGGCAGCAGUGGGGAAUGUUGGACAAUGGGCGAAAGCCUGAUCCAGCAAUGCCGCGUGUGUGAAGAAGGCCUUCGGGUUGUAAAGCACUUUUGUCCGGAAAGAAAUGGCUCUGGUUAAUACCUGGGGUCGAUGACGGUACCGGAAGAAUAAGGACCGGCUAACUACGUG